RNAcentral lists this ribosomal RNA (302 nucleotides) under Amanita pseudoporphyria. RNAcentral describes it as "eukaryotic LSU rRNA". The stretch from base 1 to 90 matches the Rfam family "5.8S ribosomal RNA", at positions 65 to 154 of the family's 154-position model. Lineage: Eukaryota; Fungi; Basidiomycota; Agaricomycetes; Agaricales; Amanitaceae. The record is from RNAcentral.
AUGUGAAUUGCAGAAUUCAGUGAAUCAUCGAGUUUUUGAACGCACCUUGCGCUCCUUGGUACUCUGAGGAGCAUGCCUGUUUGAGUGUCAUUAAAUUAUCAAAAUUGUCACGAUAGUGGUGAUUUUGGAUUAUGGGAGUUGCAGGACCGUUGUUAGAGGGUCAAGCUCUCCUGAAAUGGAUUAGUAGAGCAAAAUGGAACUCUGUUGGUGUGAUAAGGAAAUUGAUCGUCAGAAAGAGUAACCAAAAGGCUUUGCUAUGUUGUUAUGAAAUGAUUUUUGAAAAUUGACCUCAAAUCAGGUAG